AGCAUGACUGGAAGUGGACGAGAGAGAAUGAUGUAUUAUCAAUACGUGAAAGAGCUUGGGUUGGAGCACUUGAGACUCCUUUCCGCGCGGAAACAAAAAAACUUAGAGGUAUUAGAUCAAGAGCCAUGAGCACAGAAGGCAGAGCAAAAGAGCAAGAGUCGCAGAUGAUUGUUCAAAAUCAAAAUCAGCAGAAACAGUAACACAAAAACCAUAAAUGAAACAAGCAUUUGUCCAUGGCAUGUUUAUGAGCACGGACACAAAACCGCGUCAGAG
Molecule: non-coding RNA, 273 nt
Organism: Caenorhabditis elegans
Lineage: Eukaryota; Metazoa; Nematoda; Chromadorea; Rhabditida; Rhabditidae
Source: Ensembl